Molecule: ribosomal RNA, 787 nt
Filed under: uncultured bacterium
Lineage: Bacteria
Description: bacterial SSU rRNA
Rfam family: Bacterial small subunit ribosomal RNA
Source: RNAcentral
UAGAGUUUGAUCCUGGCUCAAGACGACCUUUGGCGGCGCGCCUAACACAUGCAAGUCGAACGAGCGAGAGAGAGCUUGCUUUCUCAAGCGAGUGGCGAACGGGUGAGUAACGCGUGAGGAACCUGCCUCAAAGAGGGGGACAACAGUUGGAAACGACUGCUAAUACCGCAUAAGCCCACAGGUCGGCAUCGACCAGAGGGAAAAGGAGCAAUCCGCUUUGAGAUGGCCUCGCGUCCGAUUAGCUAGUUGGUGAGGUAAUGGCCCACCAAGGCAACGAUCGGUAGCCGGACUGAGAGGUUGAACGGCCACAUUGGGACUGAGACACGGCCCAGACUCCUACGGGAGGCAGCAGUGGGGAAUAUUGCACAAUGGGGGAAACCCUGAUGCAGCGACGCCGCGUGGAGGAAGAAGGUCUUCGGAUUGUAAACUCCUGUUGUUGAGGAAGAUAAUGACGGUACUCAACAAGGAAGUGACGGCUAACUACGUGCCAGCAGCCGCGGUAAAACGUAGGUCACAAGCGUUGUCCGGAAUUACUGGGUGUAAAGGGAGCGCAGGCGGGAAGACAAGUUGGAAGUGAAAUCUAUGGGCUCAACCCAUAAACUGCUUUCAAAACUGUUUUUCUUGAGUAGUGCAGAGGUAGGCGGAAUUCCCGGUGUAGCGGUGGAAUGCGUAGAUAUCGGGAGGAACACCAGUGGCGAAGGCGGCCUACUGGGCACCAACUGACGCUGAGGCUCGAAAGUGUGGGUAGCAAACAGGAUUAGAUACCCUGGUAGUCCACACCGUAAAC